Molecule: ribosomal RNA, 301 nt
Filed under: uncultured bacterium
Lineage: Bacteria
Description: partial 16S ribosomal RNA
Rfam family: Bacterial small subunit ribosomal RNA
Source: RNAcentral
CAGUAGCCACGGGAAAACCGAGGGUGCAAGCGUUAAUCGGAUUUACUGGGCGUAAAGGGCGCGUAGGUGGUUAUUUAAGUGAGAUGUGAAAGCCCCGGGCUUAACCUGGGAACUGCAUCUUAUACUGGGUAACUGGAGUGCAGUAGAGGGUAGUGGAAUUUCCGGUGUAGCGGUGAAAUGCGUAGAGAUCGGGAGGAACAUCAGUGGCGAAGGCGGCCAUCUGGACCUGUACUGACGCUCAUGCACGAAAGCGUGGGGAGCAAACAGGAUUAGAUACCCCAGUAGUCCCUGUCUCUUAUAC